This 1296-nucleotide long non-coding RNA is filed under the name Bos grunniens (domestic yak). Its description in RNAcentral is "lncRNA (ENSBGRG00000010783.1)". Lineage: Eukaryota; Metazoa; Chordata; Mammalia; Artiodactyla; Bovidae. The record is from RNAcentral.
AUGGGUCACCAAACAAUUCUUCACCAAACAAUGAUCUUAUUAUACAAUAGUCACCUGGGCACAAUCAGUUGCCCACAUGUGCACACACAAAACACACACACAGCACCUUUGAAGUAUAGGCAAUGUCUUCUGUCUUCACAGUGCCAUCUGCAAUCUUGCUUUGAAUGGCUUGGCCAACCUGCUCUUCAUUUUGCUACACACAAGCACAGUCAAUAUGGCGGAACCCAACCUCUAUUUGGUUGCCUCCAGAGCUUCGCUCUUAGGAACAUACAUGAGCAACAAAGGCAGUUUAAAAUCAAACACCUGGAAGGAAGGAAGAAUCAUAUUAACCUCUCCCCCAAGGAGCUGGCCUUCCCCUGGGGACUGGAGGACUUUCCAGCUGGAUGGAGACAAGAGGAGAGGACAGGGAAGCCAUGUCUGUCCUCAGCUUCCAGCUGAACCAGCCUGGGACCCUCUGCUGAGUUCUCACCUCUCCUUCCCACAACUUCUCUUUCUCUGUCCACAUAAGCAAAGAAAGGCUUGCCAUGCAUCAAUCCCAAACAUUUCUAAGGGAAUUGCUUUAGACAGAAAAAUUCUUUUUUUCCAGAUAAAGAGAUAGUUGGACCAUCUGGACAGUCUACCUGCACUUGAUCAAACUUUACACAGGUUUUUCCUUCCACACGUCCCUCUAGAAUUUGGCACAGCCUUGAACUUAAGCAAGUUGGUGGGGAGAGCAACCUCCCUGUCAGGCCCCUCCAAUGCUCUGCUGACCUCAGGAAAGAGCUCUCCCUGAUCAGUCACAGCCCCUGCUUCUCCCACCCCAACACCCUUCCCCUUCUAGCUGUGUUCACCCUUCCCUAGAAAAGUCUUUCCACUGAUCUCUGAGAUGCCUCUGUCUCAGCCAUCACCUCCUCCUAGAACAACCUGCUCUAUUCCCACCUGGUUUCCAUCAGCACUGUGAAUACUUAUCCUAAAAGCCUGAGCUCCAGCCCAUAUUCUUUACAAUGCUUAUAACCUUGCCAGGUGAGGUUAAUCGCUUUCUCUUGUGUGCCCUCACAUUAUUAUAGCCCCUAUUAAUGCAGGUCAAAAAUCCCCACAAAUGAAAUUACACUUAUAAGGAGCUUGUGCUAGAUAAAACCUCUAAGGACUGUUGCUUCAUGUUACAAUCAUGUCAUGUUUCCCCACCCAGUAUUUGUACAGUUUGACAUCUUAGAGCAAAUCACAGAACAUAACACUCAUUUAUCUUAUUAUUAUCAACCCAUCCUUCUGGGUGUUUAAGGUCAGAAUUCUGCCUUGAUUCUGUUAUCCCAUAUAGUU